GAUGAAGAACGUAGCGAAAUGCGAUACGUAGUGUGAAUUGCAGAAUUCAGUGAAUCAUCGAAUCUUUGAACGCACAUUGCACCUCUCGGUAUUCCGGGUGGUAUGCCUGUUCGAGCGUCAUUUGUACCCUCAAGCUCUGCUUGGUGUUGGGUGUUUGUUCCGCCUCUGUGUGUGAACUCGCCUCAAAACAAUUGGCAGCCGGCGUACUUGUUUCGGAGCGCAGCACAUUUUGCGAUCCAGAUCAACGUACAGCGGCAUCCAAGAAGCCUUAUUUAACGCUCUUGACCUCGGAUCAGGUAGGGAUACCCGCUGAACUUAAGCAUAUCAAUAAGCGGAGGA
This 339-nucleotide unclassified non-coding RNA is filed under the name soil metagenome. RNAcentral's name for it is "partial contains 5.8S ribosomal RNA, internal transcribed spacer 2, and large subunit ribosomal RNA". The stretch from base 1 to 120 matches the Rfam family "5.8S ribosomal RNA", at positions 35 to 154 of the family's 154-position model. The record is from RNAcentral.